This 59-nucleotide ribosomal RNA is filed under the name Chlorella sorokiniana. RNAcentral describes it as "partial 28S ribosomal RNA". Lineage: Eukaryota; Viridiplantae; Chlorophyta; Trebouxiophyceae; Chlorellales; Chlorellaceae. The record is from RNAcentral.
CGACCUGAGCUCAGGCAAGAUUACCCGCUGGAACUUAAGCAUAUCAAUAAGCGGAGGAA